GGGACGGAGGGGGACCAAGGACAGGAAGGAACAGACGUCUCUCUUUACCCUCCAACGGUACCACUCAGAGCCUCUUUCUCCGCCCUUGUGCUGGGGGCAGGGGCAACAUAUAAAGACAGGCACCCCUAGAUGUCAAGUUCACUGGGAAGGGCCAGAGGAGUGUCAGAGAUUGGGCCUGACCAGAGGCUGAAUCAGGGGCAAGAAAGAUUAGAGUCUGAAGAAGACAGGAGUCCUGGUGAGCAGGGGACAGGAGGGGAGGCGAAUGUCCGCCCGUGGCCCUGAAGCCGUGAGUGAGCAGCCUUACCGCUGCCUGAUAAAUACAGCUGUUGCCCAGGCCAUAAAUUAGAGUCAGGGUCCCAGAUUAGCCCUGGAAUUAAGUACUGUAAGAAUCUGAGGAGAAAAAAAAAUCACAUAAAAUUCAAUUUAAGGAUAAAACAGAUGUUUUCCGUGAAGCCAGCCUCCUGAGAUGAUUACAUCGCCCUGCAUUUAGGCAGGAGCUCUCGCCUGAAGGUCUCAAGCCGGCAGCAAGUUAUGCAGGGAGUUGAAACUGGGUGCCACUGGUCCCUAAGCCUUCAGGUCCUUGGGGAAGGACCAGCUGUGCCUGCUUGUCCCCCACCCAGCAGUCAAGCCCCCCUCCAAUCAUCCCCUGCUCUUGGGUCACAAAGGAGAAACCAGAAGAUGAAGAGGAUUGCCAGGGAAGCCCAUCCCCAUCUUGGGGAGCUGAGAGUUUUCAGAUUGCCGACGAGACCAUGCACAACCCUCGGAGUAUGCAGAUUGUGCCCAGGAUGGAAGUCUUCUCCAGAUGGAUCAUUUCUUCCCUUAUGCUAUAUCAAGCAUUCGGUGUAUUUCCCUUAUGCUUUCUCUCCUGGUCUGCAAUCGUCAUUUAUUUAUAUAUUUGCUUCCCCCAGAGGUAAGGAACCAGUCUUCAAAUGCCCUGAUAUCUCCCAAGCUUAACACAGUUCUUGAUAUGUAGGAUGGAGCAGAACUGAACAGAACACGGGACAGAAAGGCACUAAACAUGUAUAACUGGCUGAUAAUCUUUCAUAAUUAGCCAACGGGAGUCCGUGUCUCCAAAUGUCUCCUAAAGUCAUCUGCCAAAUCUGGCCAGGGAAGCCUUUUGGAAGGAUAAGCCUUCUGAUACACUUCUGCCAACCCCUGACUUGGUUAAGAGUUUUGGUUCCAGAAUCUCAUCCCUUGGGUUCUAGGCCUGGCUCUGUCACUUCCUACCUGUAUGUCUGUAGGAAGGAGCCUUAACCUCUCUGGGCCCCAAGCUUCCGGGUUGGACAAAGUGACACGGUGUUGUGUGAAGAGCUUGGAACGGCGUCUGGCACAUUGUAAGCACCCAGUAAAUCUUAGAUGUCAUUACUCAACACAGAGGAAACGAGGCAAAAAUUAACAAGAACUCUGACGAAGACCUUUUGUACUUUUCACUGUCACUGUUUCAUAUUAAACGGUAUUUGUGUGAGCGUGUACCAUGUCGCCCUGUUUAAUUGAUUUAGAAGCACUUCUGAAAGCUCACCGCUGCCCCGAGCCCAGGUAUGAGGUUUCAGCGUGAUUAACAAAAACGUUUGUGGUCAUUUCAUAAAAUUGUCGAGCAUCAGGUAUUUAGUGAGGAACAUCAUUACAUCGUUUCCGUGGGAGAAUUAGAUUAGAUUUAGAUCAUUUCGGCUAAUAAGCGCAUUUUACAAGCCCAGGCUCUCCCAGGCCAGGUGGAAAAACAUAGCUCAGAAAUGGAAGACUUCACUGCAAAAUGGAACCUGCAGACCUUGUUCACUUCCUGGCGUUGGUCAUCAGAACCAGCAUAGAAGUUUCACCUCCCACCUUUGUGUAGCUAGAUGAAAUUCUCAGCUCCCAGGAAAAUAGCAUGUUCCCACAGGGCUCUUUCUAAUGAUUGGAAGGCUAGCCCACAUACACUUCGAGUUUCCCUUAUCACAGAGGGUUAAAGAAGGCUGGGAGGAGGGCCAGGGAGAGCUCAGUUACUGAAAGCUUCCUGGGAGCAGGCAUUGUGCUUGAGGGCAUUAUCCCAUUAAAUCCCACAGCAUCCCUGGGAGAAAGGUACUGUGAUUACACCCAUUUUACAGAUGAGAAAACAAGGCCCAGAGAGGUGAGCUGACUUCUCCAAAGGCACACAGCAUUCUAACAUGGGGUAGAAGCCAGAGCUGUCUCAGCCCAAGGCCGGUUUUCCUCCCAUGCCUCAUUCGUGUCCUGGGGUGUCAUGUCCGGGAGCCUUUCCCAGCCUGACUCUGGGCCCGUUUCUGCUUUGGCUCCCAGCCUGUGUCCUACUGACUCCUUCUGUCAAGCUUGGUGGAAGAUUCCGGCACAAGUUCUCUCUUGGGUAAUAUACAGAUGACCAUUUAUGCAGUUUUUCAGCUAUUGGAAUCAGCUUCCAGGAGGGUCCACGCCAUGGAUACACCUAUUUCUAAGUAAGGGAAACCUGUGUCCUAGAGAAGAACAGCUCACAAUUCAUAUCCUACCGUGAUUUAUUCUCAGUUAAUGAUGACGGCAAGUGACCUCCAUGACCGCCGGCAUGCUCCUCCAAGAGUGACUUUAGGUGAACUUGGGACAUAAAGUUCAGAGACCUGAGGGACCAAGGAGGGGCCUGGUCACCUUUGGAUUGGGUGCAUAUUCGGGAUUUGGCUCACAUUAUGCAGAAGAGGGACUGUGCUGACGUCAAGAUGUCAGGAGAGCCCCCCGGGGACACUGAAGGUGUGGAUGAUGAAGCCAUGGGCUGGCCUGGGCCCCAGUGCCCAUCAGAAAGAGAGGAAUUCAGCCCCUCUGUUCUAAUGCUUCCACACUGAUAUGCCGAUGUCCAGAAGAGGGGGGACUCCUGGGCUGGCCUUAAUAUCAGUAAUAACACUGGUGUCCUCUCUUUCUUCAACGUCCCUCUGGAUGGUGAGGGCUUUGAAGACCUUGAGGGGAGGCAAGCUUCAGGAUGGAGGGGGCCUGGGUCCCUGAAUGACUGCAUGGAGCAGUGCUCUCUCUCCUCCACUGACCUGCUUUGGACUUAUGGCAUGAGUAAUAAACCAACUCUUCU
Molecule: long non-coding RNA, 3034 nt
Organism: Capra hircus (goat)
Lineage: Eukaryota; Metazoa; Chordata; Mammalia; Artiodactyla; Bovidae
Source: Ensembl